This 238-nucleotide long non-coding RNA is filed under the name Elaeis guineensis (African oil palm). RNAcentral's name for it is "long non-coding RNA (EGUI_LNC066649)". The record is from RNAcentral. Lineage: Eukaryota; Viridiplantae; Streptophyta; Magnoliopsida; Arecales; Arecaceae.
CAGUGGACAGUCUUCAGACGAGCUUCUACAUCAAACAAAUUCCAGACGGACUUCUCUAGCAAUCGAACUCCUGUCGGAUUUCUCCAACAGGAAGUUCCCGUCCGAGCUUCUAUAGUAGAUGACUUUCACCUGCAGCAUCAGUGCUCAAGGCACCCAACAACAGUAAACUCGUCAGCAAUCUCGAAAAUAUCCGAGCUUCUCUUAGAUUGCUGAGACAGAGAGCCAUUCCACUCUAUCA